GUAGGUGAACCUGCGGAAGGAUCAUUAUUAAAAAAGUUUUAAGAGUGCACUUCAUUGUGGCUCUAACCUUUUACAAUGUACUUUUCACCCUUUUUUUUAAACCCAAAACUGUUAUGUGUACCUUUUUUUGGUAUAGCAUCUCAGUAGUACGCAUCAUGUGAAUUUUUAAUUCACAAGUUGCAUUACCCCCUUUUUUGAAAUUAACACUAUAAAAAGUUCUAAGAAUGUAAACCCCCUUUAAAUUAUAUAACUUUUAACAAUGGAUCUCUUGGCUCUC
This 277-nucleotide unclassified non-coding RNA is filed under the name rhizosphere metagenome. RNAcentral's name for it is "partial ribosomal RNA internal transcribed spacer region". The record is from RNAcentral.